Long non-coding RNA from Pipistrellus kuhlii (Kuhl's pipistrelle), 1148 nucleotides. RefSeq lists it as uncharacterized. The transcript has 2 exons. NCBI's taxonomy places the organism in Eukaryota, Metazoa, Chordata, Mammalia, Chiroptera, Vespertilionidae. The record is from RefSeq and is a predicted model, not a curated record.
UAGACAACUUUGAGAAAUUAGAAUUAAUGUUAAAGGAAAGAGGAAAAUAUUUUCUGUCAUCAUAUAUAGGAUAAUAGAAAAUUAAUACAUGAGUUUUCUGCCUGAAACUAUGGUGAAUUUCACAGGUAUUUUUAUUUUUUUACUCAAGUUUGUCUAUAUUUCCAGUCAUUUUUAUAAACUGCAAAGAUAUGGUAGUAUUGCUGAUUAGUCUUAAAGAUAAGAGGCUGUAAAUUUAAAAUCAUGGAGGGAAGUUAACCUGGGAAAGGAGGAUCAGUGCUUCUUUGAGGUAUUUGGAAAGUCAUUAAGGAUGGGUAAAGAGGUGAAGUAGAAAGUAGCAACAACAUUGUGGAGAGGACUUGAGAAAGUCUCUACUGAUGCUUUUCCUAGUAAAUAGAAAAGGGACCAUUAGUUUAAAACAGUGAUUUUCAAUCAGUGUGCUAUAAAAAGUUUUAAUACGUCUAAUACCUGACUAUUACUCAGGGGCACAGAUCUCUUUUCCCUUAGAUUAUUAAAUAACAAAAUGACAACAGCCAACACAACAAUAACAACAAUAGCCAUCAGGUGUGAAUGAAUCAAAAUUAUAUAUAUAUAUUUUUGUCAGAUUAGCAAGAUAUAUAGUUGAUAUUUGGGUGUGCUGCAAAAUUUUAGUAAUAGUUUACGUGUACCAUGAGAUGAAAAGGGUUGAAAACUGCUGGUUUAGGGUGACAGGCAUGUAAGGUGUUGAGGAAUGUGGAAAACUGAAUAAUGGUCCUUUUCCCCUGUCCUUCCAAUAUGUCCAUGACUAAUCACUGGAACCUAAAGAUUGUUACUUUAAAAGGCAAAGGGGACUUUCUCAGAUGUGAUUGAGUUAAGGAUCUUGAGGUGAGGAGAUUAUCCUAGGUUGUCCUGCUGGGCCCAAAGUGAUUACAGAGUGGGUGGCAGGAGGGUCAGAGACAAAAGAGAAGGCAGUAUACUGACAGAGGCAGAGAUGGGAUUGAUAAGCUCUCGAGAUGGAGGAGGGCCACAGCCAAGGAAUGCAUCAUGUGGCCACUAGAAGCUGAAAAAGGCAAGAAAGUGGAUUCCCCCCUCAGAGCCUAAAAAAGGAACAGAUCCUACAGACACCUUGACUGUAGUCCAGUGAAACUGAUUUUAGUCUAGAAAUACCUAUA